GGUUAACGCUGGCGGCGUGCCUAACACAUGCAAGUCGAACGGUUCUAAGCGCGAGCUUAGGAUAGUGGCGAACGGGUGAGUAAAAGGUAGGAAUCUACCCCUUGGACGGAGAUAGCUACUGGAAACGGUAGGUAAACUUCGAUAAGCCCGAGAGGGGAAAGUGGUGAGACAGCCGAGGGAUGAGCCUACUCUCCAUCAGGUAGUUGGUGAGAUAAAAGCUUACCAAGCCGAUGACGGGUAGCCGGCCUGAGAGGGUGACCGGCCCGAGGGGCACUGAGAUACGGGUCCCACUCCUACGGGAGGCAGCAGGCUAGAAAUUUGGGCAAUGGGGGAAACCCUGACCCAGUGACGCCGCGUGCAGGAAGGAGCCCUUCGGGGUGUAAACUGCUGUCGUGUAGGGAGAAGGGUACUAAGGUGAACAAUCUUAGUACUUGACGGUACUACAGGAGGAAGCCCAGGCUAACCUCGUG
RNAcentral lists this ribosomal RNA (470 nucleotides) under uncultured bacterium. RNAcentral's name for it is "bacterial SSU rRNA". It matches the Rfam family "Bacterial small subunit ribosomal RNA", at positions 28 to 507 of the family's 1533-position model. The record is from RNAcentral.